This 1790-nucleotide long non-coding RNA is filed under the name Mus musculus (house mouse). RNAcentral's name for it is "long non-coding RNA chrX:33849337-33851127". The record is from RNAcentral. Lineage: Eukaryota; Metazoa; Chordata; Mammalia; Rodentia; Muridae.
GGGGUCUUGAUACAACUUCAGAACGGUUUCCGUGUCGUUAUUCGUACAAGACCCUCGUCUCUCUCUACCCCCCAUUUGGUUAUUAGGAGGAGGUCCCCUCGCGAUCCUCGAAUAACUGGACCUGCUGGACGGGUCAAGUGGCGCCCGACGUGGAGCACGAGGUACGACUGCCCUCCGGACAACGGAUUAAGGAUUAAAGAGGUACCGUGCAGACAGAGAAACAGUGGGACAGUCCACUGACACUUCACUGGAGUGUCGAGUACGGACGUCGGGAGGUAAGCCUAGGCAUUCAAUUGUUGUCCCAUUAGCCAUGGGGCAUUUAGUGAAGAGAUAAAGUGUUCUCUUAAGGAGAGAGGGAUAAGAGUUUUUAAAAAAGGGGAAUUUAAUAAUAUAUUUUUGUUUUGUGGACAAGAGAUGUCCAUGGCUGGUAUUAAAUGGUUCUGAAACUUAGAAUAAAGUAAGCAAAGAAAUCAAUAGUUUAAUAAAACAAGGAGAAGAUGUCCAUGAGUCCUUUUUUAGUUAUUGGGGAAUUAUCAGAGAUCUCCUUGAGCAGGCAGAAAAGGGUGGAAAAGGUGCUCGCCUCCUAGCCCUUACUGAAGAUUUUUUAGAAAGCUCCCAAUCGCCAUCUCACAAAAGCAAAACUAAGCUGCCGGCGCACAGUAUCUCUAUUAGAAGGUUUAGUAGAAGGCUACUUGAUACCCAAUGAAUGGAAUAAAGUUAUUCAGUCUGUCCUCACUAGAGGCCAAUAUUUAACUUGAAAGUCAGAGUUUGUGAAAGACAGCCUCCUGGACUGCUGACAAAAUCUGUGGUUAAGGCAAUUUCGCUGCAGACAUAAAACAAUUAGGGCUCUCCCCUGUUGUCCUCGCCCAGACAGCACAAGCGGCCCUGAGAGCUUGGUGCGCUGUCCCUGCAGCAAGGGCGCUAACUAUGCCCCUAAUCAAGAUUAUAUAAGGGCCCCAAGAAUCCUAUGUGCAGUUCGUUGCCAGAUUGCAGGAAGCAGCUGAGAAAUUUCUGGGACCUGAGGAAAGUGAGGGUUUGUUAGUCCUACAACUUGCUCUUGAAAAUGCCAAUUCAGCAUGUAGGGCUGCCCUGAGAGGUAAAACCAAGAGUUUAGAUAUAAAUGGUAUGAUCAAGCUUUGUAACAAGGUAGAUGUGUUUUCUCAACAAGUUUCUAAGUCUAUUAACCUGGCCAUUGGGACUGCUCUAACUCCAGCUCCAAGAUUGGUGCCGAGCCCCAUUGGCCCAAGUUAAAAGUAGACAUCUGUGUCCUCACAUUGGGUGCAGAUGCCGCCUGGGGCACCCCUGAUUAUUAUAUGCCUCAAUUAACAGCAGUUAACACAGGUGAAUUUGGGCCCCCUCCCCAAAAGAAGUUUUUUCUCAUCAUCGGCCGAGUGUCCAGACUUUUACAAGGCCUAAUGGUGACUCCUACAGUGGUUGACACCGACUACCAUGGGGAGAUAAAAAUCUUAGUCAUCGCCACGCAGGAACCACUUACCCUUAGGGCUAGAGAGCGCAUAGCCCAAGCCCUACCACUCCCACUAUUCAGCCAUUUCCCUUAUUUGAAAGAGGAGCAAGGACCAUCCUCCCUGGGAUCCUCAGAAGUCUACUGGGCACAGAAAAUAACUGAUUCAUGGCCCAUGCCGACUUUGUUUCUAGAGGACAAACAGUUUCAAGGGCUCCUAGAUACUGGGGCAGAUGUGACAGUAAUUUCCUCAACACACUGGCCUGCAGCCUGGCCCUUACAGCCCACUAAGAGAUGGUGUAAUCCACUGAUCAUAAAAUUUACUGCU